Molecule: ribosomal RNA, 760 nt
Filed under: Arthrobacter sp. LMR263
Lineage: Bacteria; Bacillati; Actinomycetota; Actinomycetes; Micrococcales; Micrococcaceae
Description: bacterial SSU rRNA
Rfam family: Bacterial small subunit ribosomal RNA
Source: RNAcentral
GCUUGCUGGGGGAUUAGUGGCGAACGGGUGAGUAACACGUGAGUAACCUGCCCUUGACUCUGGGAUAAGCCUGGGAAACUGGGUCUAAUACCGGAUACGACCAUCUGGCGCAUGUCAUGGUGGUGGAAAGCUUUUGUGGUUUUGGAUGGACUCGCGGCCUAUCAGCUUGUUGGUGGGGUAAUGGCCUACCAAGGCGACGACGGGUAGCCGGCCUGAGAGGGUGACCGGCCACACUGGGACUGAGACACGGCCCAGACUCCUACGGGAGGCAGCAGUGGGGAAUAUUGCACAAUGGGCGCAAGCCUGAUGCAGCGACGCCGCGUGAGGGAUGACGGCCUUCGGGUUGUAAACCUCUUUCAGUAGGGAAGAAGCGUAAGUGACGGUACCUGCAGAAGAAGCGCCGGCUAACUACGUGCCAGCAGCCGCGGUAAUACGUAGGGCGCAAGCGUUAUCCGGAAUUAUUGGGCGUAAAGAGCUCGUAGGCGGUUUGUCGCGUCUGCUGUGAAAGACCGGGGCUCAACUCCGGUUCUGCAGUGGGUACGGGCAGACUAGAGUGCAGUAGGGGAGACUGGAAUUCCUGGUGUAGCGGUGAAAUGCGCAGAUAUCAGGAGGAACACCGAUGGCGAAGGCAGGUCUCUGGGCUGUAACUGACGCUGAGGAGCGAAAGCAUGGGGAGCGAACAGGAUUAGAUACCCUGGUAGUCCAUGCCGUAAACGUUGGGCACUAGGUGUGGGGGACAUUCCACGUUUUCCGCGCCGUA